GUCUACGGCCAGGCUACCCUGAACAAGCCCGAUCUCAUCUGAUCUGGAAAGCUAAGCAGGGUCGGGCCUGGUUAGUACCUGGAUGGGAGACCACCUAGGAAGACCAGGUGCAGGAACA
Molecule: ribosomal RNA, 118 nt
Organism: Pteropus vampyrus (large flying fox)
Lineage: Eukaryota; Metazoa; Chordata; Mammalia; Chiroptera; Pteropodidae
Source: Ensembl